GACGAACGCUGGCGGCGUGCCUAACACAUGCAAGUCGAACGGAGACAAUAGCAAUAUUGUCUUAGUGGCGGACGGGUGAGUAACGCGUGAGCAACCUGCCUUUCAGUGGGGGACAACAGUUGGAAACGACUGCUAAUACCGCAUAAUGUAUUCGAGUGGCAUCACUUGAAUACCAAAGAUUUAUUGCUGAAAGAUGGGCUCGCGUCUGAUUAGCUAGUUGGUAGGGUAACGGCCUACCAAGGCUUCGAUCAGUAGCCGGACUGAGAGGUUGAACGGCCACAUUGGGACUGAGAUACGGCCCAGACUCCUACGGGAGGCAG
This 320-nucleotide ribosomal RNA is filed under the name uncultured Bacillota bacterium. RNAcentral's name for it is "bacterial SSU rRNA". It matches the Rfam family "Bacterial small subunit ribosomal RNA", at positions 28 to 351 of the family's 1533-position model. The record is from RNAcentral. Lineage: Bacteria; Bacillati; Bacillota.